AGAGUUUGAUCCUGGCUCAGGAUGAACGCUGGCGGCGUGCUUAACACAUGCAAGUCGAACGGUGAACACGGAGCUUGCUCUGUGGGAUCAGUGGCGAACGGGUGAGUAACACGUGAGCAACCUGCCCCUGACUCUGGGAUAAGCGCUGGAAACGGCGUCUAAUACUGGAUAUGUGACGUGACCGCAUGGUCUGCGUCUGGAAAGAAUUUCGGUUGGGGAUGGGCUCGCGGCCUAUCAGCUUGUUGGUGAGGUAAUGGCUCACCAAGGCGUCGACGGGUAGCCGGCCUGAGAGGGUGACCGGCCACACUGGGACUGAGACACGGCCCAGACUCCUACGGGAGGCAGCAGUGGGGAAUAUUGCACAAUGGGCGCAAGCCUGAUGCAGCAACGCCGCGUGAGGGAUGACGGCCUUCGGGUUGUAAACCUCUUUUAGCAGGGAAGAAGCGAAAGUGACGGUACCUGCAGAAAAAGCGCCGGCUAACUACGUGCCAGCAGCCGCGGUAAUAC
This 507-nucleotide ribosomal RNA is filed under the name Microbacterium sp. MSB2098. RNAcentral's name for it is "bacterial SSU rRNA". It matches the Rfam family "Bacterial small subunit ribosomal RNA", at positions 8 to 526 of the family's 1533-position model. The record is from RNAcentral. Lineage: Bacteria; Bacillati; Actinomycetota; Actinomycetes; Micrococcales; Microbacteriaceae.